This 592-nucleotide long non-coding RNA is filed under the name Fukomys damarensis (Damara mole-rat). RNAcentral's name for it is "lncRNA (ENSFDAG00000028395.1)". The record is from RNAcentral. Lineage: Eukaryota; Metazoa; Chordata; Mammalia; Rodentia; Bathyergidae.
UUCUGUUAAUCCUUUCUUCAUUCUUCCUGCCCCUUAGGAUUUUCUGUGUCUCUUCUGGGUCAUGGUUAAUGCUGUGGAUCUCACACCCCAUAACUGAAUGAUGGACAAUGAAGGCUGAUUGUCUACACUCGGGACAGAAAUGAAUAUAAUGACACUGGGAGUGUCCUGCUGCUGAAAACUGUGGAAUGAAGAUAAGCUGAUAUGUUGCAUAUGGACCUGAAGUAAUCAAACUGAAGAGGUGGAGGGUGAAGAUGAUGAUUUACUUCAUAUGCCCUUGAAUGCUUGCUGUCCAAACUCACAUUUACCCACAUUUUCCCAAGGUUACCUAAUCCUGAAGGACCACCUAAAAUAAAAAGAUGAGGAAGAAGAUAUUGUGGGCUUCACAAUGGUUGUGAACCCUACAUCUCAGGAAGAAGUCAAGAAGAGAACAUCAGAAGAUCCUUCUAUGUCUGCUACCCAAUGAAGGUUCAGGCUCUGUCUUCAGGAUUCAACUAGAGCAGACAGAUAGGAGCUUCCCAGUUCAGACCACCAUGGGAGAUCAGACACAGGUAUGGAACUCAAUGGAUUGGAGUUAUCAAAAUGAAGGGCUGGC